RNAcentral lists this ribosomal RNA (253 nucleotides) under uncultured bacterium. Its description in RNAcentral is "partial 16S ribosomal RNA". It matches the Rfam family "Bacterial small subunit ribosomal RNA", at positions 524 to 776 of the family's 1533-position model. The record is from RNAcentral.
UACAUGGGGUGCAAACGUUGCUCGGAAUUAUUGGGCGUAAAGCGCGCGUAGGCGGUUACUCAAGUCGGAUGUGAAAGCCCUCGGCUUAACUGAGGAAGUGCACCCGAAACUGAGUAGCUAGAGUACUAAAGAGGGUCGCGGAAUUCCAGGUGUAGCGGUGAAAUGCGUAGAGAUCGGGAGGAACACCGGCGGCGAAGGCGGCUGCCUGGACCAGUCCUGACGCUGAGGCGCGAAAGCUAGGGGAGCAAACAGG